This is a long non-coding RNA of Mus musculus (house mouse), 111 nucleotides long. RefSeq annotates it as predicted gene, 32969. Lineage: Eukaryota; Metazoa; Chordata; Mammalia; Rodentia; Muridae. The transcript is spliced from 2 exons. The record is from RefSeq and is a predicted model, not a curated record.
CAAGAAGAAUCUCAGGACAGGUAAACUGUCAGGAGGAGGGAAAUGAGGUACUCCAGUCUGCUCGAUCAAUUCUUUAUUCAGCUUUUAAAUAAAAACCCAUUCUCAUCUCAA